AGUGGAUGGGGAACAACCUAGUUGUGCGUGUGUAAAGGUAGUGCCAAGAAAAGCGGUGAUCAUGAUGAAAAUCAAUUCCCGGUACCCGAAACCGACACAAGUGGGCAAGUAGAGAAUACUAAGGGGCGCGAGGUAACUCUCUCCAAGGAACUCGGCAAAAUGACCCCGUAACUUAGGGAGAAGGGGUGCCACCGAGAGGUGGUCGCAGUGAAGAGGCCCAGGCGACUGUUUAGCAAAAACAUAGGUCUCUGCAAACUCGAAAGAGGAGGUAUAGGGGCUGACGCCUGCCCAGUGCCGGAAGGUUAAAGAAGUUGGUCAGUCAUAGGAUGAAGCUAGCGACUGAAGCCCCGGUGAACGGCGGCCGCAACUAUAACGGUCCUAAGGUAGCGAAAUUCCUUGUCGGGUAAGUUCCGACCCGCACGAAAGGCGUAACGAUCUGGGCGCUGUCUCGGAGAGAGGCUCGGCGAAAUAGGAUUGUCUGUGAAGAUACGGACUACCUGCAUUUGGACAGAAAGACCCUAUGAAGCUUUACUAUAGCUUGGAAUUGUGUUCGGGCUUCCUGUGCGCAGGAUAGGUGGGAGGCGUAGAAGGUAUUCUUGUGGGGAUACUGGAGCCAACGGUGAGAUACCACUCUCAGGAGGCUAGAAUUCUAACUUAAUUAAGGACAGUUUCAGGUGGGUAGUUUGACUGGGGCGGUCGCCUCCAAAAAGGUAACGGAGGCGUACAAAGGUUCCCUCAGACUGGUUGGAAACCAGUCGCAGAGUGCAAAGGCAGAAGGGAGCUUGACUGCGAGAAGUACAGUUCGAGCAGGGUGGAAACACGGUCUUAGUGAUCCGACGGUGCUGUGUGGAAGGGCCGUCGCUCAACGGAUAAAAGUUACUCUAGGAUAACAGGCUGAUCUCCCCCAAGAGUUCACAUCGACGGGGAGGUUUGGCACCUCGAUGUCGGCUCAUCGCAACCUGGGGCGGAAGUACGUCCCAAGGGUUGGGCUGUUCGCCCAUUAAAGCGGUACGUGAGCUGGGUUCAGAACGUCGUGAGACAGUUCGGUCCAUAUCCGAUGUAGGCGUGAGAAUAUUGAGAGGAGCCUUCCUUAGUACGAGAGGACCGGGAAGGACGCACCGCUGGUGUACCUGUUAUGAUGCCAAUUGUAAACGCAGGGUAGCCAAGUGCGGAGAGGAUAACCGCUGAAAGCAUCUAAGUGGGAAGCCCACCUCAAGAUGAGUAUUCUGGUGUAAGGUCACGGGAAGACGACCCGUAAAUAGGCACGAGGUGGAAGUGCAGAGAUGUAUGAAGCCGAAGUGUACUAAUAGACCGUCGGCUUGACC
This 1325-nucleotide ribosomal RNA is filed under the name metagenome. Its description in RNAcentral is "bacterial LSU rRNA". It matches the Rfam family "Bacterial large subunit ribosomal RNA", at positions 1561 to 2925 of the family's 2925-position model. The record is from RNAcentral.